Molecule: ribosomal RNA, 301 nt
Filed under: uncultured bacterium
Lineage: Bacteria
Description: partial 16S ribosomal RNA
Rfam family: Bacterial small subunit ribosomal RNA
Source: RNAcentral
CAGUAGCCGCGGGAAUACGUAGGGUGCAAGCGUUAAUCGGAAUUACUGGGCGUAAAGCGUGCGCAGGCGGUUUGUUAAGACAGAUGUGAAAUCCCCGGGCUCAACCUGGGAACUGCAUUUGUGACUGUAUAGCUAGAGUACGGCAGAGGGGGAUGGAAUUCCGCGUGUAGCAGUGAAAUGCGUAGAUAUGCGGAGGAACACCGAUGGCGAAGGCAAUCCCCUGGGCCUGUACUGACGCUCAUGCACGAAAGCGUGGGGAGCAAACAGGAUUAGAUACCCCUGUAGUCCCUGUCUCUUAUAC